This 511-nucleotide ribosomal RNA is filed under the name Salmonella enterica subsp. enterica serovar Newport. RNAcentral describes it as "partial 23S ribosomal RNA". It matches the Rfam family "Bacterial large subunit ribosomal RNA", at positions 657 to 1165 of the family's 2925-position model. Lineage: Bacteria; Pseudomonadati; Pseudomonadota; Gammaproteobacteria; Enterobacterales; Enterobacteriaceae. The record is from RNAcentral.
AUAGGGGAGCCGGAGGGAAACCGAGUCUUAACCGGGCGUUAAGUUGCAGGGUAUAGACCCGAAACCCGGUGAUCUAGCCAUGGGCAGGUUGAAGGUUGGGUAACACUAACUGGAGGACCGAACCGACUAAUGUUGAAAAAUUAGCGGAUGACCUGUGGCUGGGGGUGAAAGGCCAAUCAAACCGGGAGAUAGCUGGUUCUCCCCGAAAGCUAUUUAGGUAGCGCCUCGUGAAUUCAUCUCCGGGGGUAGAGCACUGUUUCGGCUAGGGGGCCAUCCCGGCUUACCAACCCGAUGCAAACUGCGAAUACCGGAGAAUGUUAUCACGGGAGACACACGGCGGGUGCUAACGUCCGUCGUGAAGAGGGAAACAACCCAGACCGCCAGCUAAGGUCCCAAAGUCAUGGUUAAGUGGGAAACGAUGUGGGAAGGCCCAGACAGCCAGGAUGUUGGCUUAGAAGCAGCCAUCAUUUAAAGAAAGCGUAAUAGCUCACUGGUCGAGUCGGCCUGCGCG